RNAcentral lists this long non-coding RNA (1392 nucleotides) under Equus caballus (horse). RNAcentral describes it as "lncRNA (ENSECAG00000045421.1)". Lineage: Eukaryota; Metazoa; Chordata; Mammalia; Perissodactyla; Equidae. The record is from RNAcentral.
ACCCUAGAAAUUCUCCACAAUGCAUCCAUUCUCAGAUGUGUGGAUUUCCAGGCAAGUGUUCUGCACACAAAAACUGCUCCAUAUAUGUUACUGGUUCAUCUAACUAAAGACCCCAGAAGAGACUAGCACCCCAAAGGAGCAAAUAUUUCUCUUCUGGGCUCCCCAACUUAAAGCAAACAUCGCUAUUAUGAGCAGGCAGUAGGCAGUUAAUAAAUACUUCUUGACUAAUUAGGGAGUGUAAGUAUGCAAAAGUGGUGAAUUAGAAAGAAAGAGAGCUGCAUUAAAGAUAAUCAAACCACGAAGUAUCUAGAACAAUAGCUUCUCCCCUGCAUUGUGUGUGUAGGGAGAGAAAGGCUGGCUAGCUGGCAGCUCUCCCUUCUCAUUAGUCUCCACCAGGAUAGUAUUGCAAUUAGCUCCGGAUGGCACAGCAAUUAUCUUCUAUUCUUGGAACAAACUCCUGGGAGAUCUGAGUUUGGGUGGUGAAGGAAGGUUUUACCAGGGACAAAUAAAUUCACUGUGAACCCCUUCUGAGUGAAUACUCCGCGUGUGGCUAAUAGAAUGUUAGCCAUCAAUGUAAACCUGACUGGUGGCUUCGUUUUAUAUCAAUGACACUUAAACACGAGCUCAAGAAUUUGGAUGGCCAAUUAACAGAACAUGGCUCGGGAAAUUAUAGGUUUCAAAUUUCAGAAAAAUCGGUGAAUUUAGACAACUCGAAUAUCUGCUCCUCAUUAAGGUAGACAGCCUCGGCCUCCAAGUUCUGGCUGACACGGGCUUGCUACUGAGAUGGGGACUGAAAGGAGUAAAAAAAUAAUGUUCUCAAUUAUCUUGCCAGUUAUUGAGCCGGGUAAAGACUCCACCUCACCGCCCACUUGACAAUCCCUUUUAAACAGCUAAAUUUCCUGCAUUUUAAUCAGCUGACAGACCCAGGAGGCUGGGCUGUCUGGGAUGUUUGCUCGCCCUGGCUGGGGAGGACCGGGCUUGGCAGGCACAGGGGCCUCCAAGGUCCUUGUGGAGGGUCCUUGCCAAGAAGAGAGCCUCUUCCUGGGGUCAGAACCGAGCCACAAAUCCUGGCUCUGCGACCCCUCCAACCUCUUCGCUUCGUCUUCCACCCGUCACGCUUUUCUUUCUUCUGUGACAGGAACGACAGCUGUAGGGCCUGGAGUGUUUUGUCAAAGGGCCUAAGCUGGAAUCCUGCCUGGCUCCACUGCCUGCUAGUUGGGUGACUCGAGCUUUCUGAGGCCCAGUUUCUCCCUCUAGAAAAUGGUCAUUACGGGAAUGCUGAUGAUCACCUGUGCUUAGGACGAGCCCCAGGAGCUCUGUGUUGAUGCAGGGCUUCCCUGCAGAUGGUGCUGCGGCCCGGAGAAUGCUGCUAGCGAUAGGUGGGGAGAGGGG